AGUCUACGGGAGGCAGCAGUGAGGAAUAUUGGACAAUGGUCGGAAGACUGAUCCAGCCAUGCCGCGUGCAGGAUGACGGCCUUAUGGGUUGUAAACUGCUUUUGUAAGGGAAGAAUAAGGACUACGUGUAGUUUGAUGACGGUACCUUACGAAUAAGCAUCGGCUAACUCCGUGCCAGCAGCCGCGGUAAUGACU
This 195-nucleotide ribosomal RNA is filed under the name uncultured bacterium. RNAcentral's name for it is "partial 16S ribosomal RNA". It matches the Rfam family "Bacterial small subunit ribosomal RNA", at positions 335 to 527 of the family's 1533-position model. The record is from RNAcentral.